RNAcentral lists this ribosomal RNA (233 nucleotides) under uncultured bacterium. RNAcentral describes it as "partial 16S ribosomal RNA". It matches the Rfam family "Bacterial small subunit ribosomal RNA", at positions 118 to 354 of the family's 1533-position model. The record is from RNAcentral.
UGGGAAUCUACCCCUCUCUACGGAACAACUCCGGGAAACUGGAGCUAAUACCGUAUACGCCCCCCUUUAGAGAUAUUGGGGGGGAAAGAUUUAUCGGAGAUGGAUGAGCCCGCGUUGGAUUAGCUAGUUGGUGGGGUAAAGGCCUACCAAGGCGACGAUCCAUAGCUGGUCUGAGAGGAUGAUCAGCCACACUGGGACUGAGACACGGCCCAGACUCCUACGGGAGGCAGCAG